Molecule: ribosomal RNA, 253 nt
Filed under: uncultured bacterium
Lineage: Bacteria
Description: partial 16S ribosomal RNA
Rfam family: Bacterial small subunit ribosomal RNA
Source: RNAcentral
UACAGAGGGUGCGAGCGUUAAUCGGAAUUACUGGGCGUAAAGGGCUCGUAGGCGGUCUGUCGCGUCGGGAGUGAAAACUCAGGGCUUAACCCUGAGCCUGCUUCCGAUACGGGCAGACUAGAGGUAUGCAGGGGAGAACGGAAUUCCUGGUGUAGCGGUGAAAUGCGCAGAUAUCAGGAGGAACACCUGAGGUGAAGGCGGUUCUCUGGGCAUGUCCUGACGCUGAGGAGCGAAAGUGUGGGGAGCGAACAGG